CAUGUAUAUCUUCCUGUCAAAAAACUUAAAGAAAAAAAAGUCAAGACUGCACAUUUUGGAGGAUUAAUCAUCUGAGAUUUUUCUUUAAUUUAUCACCAACAGGAGUAAUGUUCACUUUCUGUUUUACAGGGACACCCACAUAGACUUUAGAAAGCAUAAAUAAAAUUAUGUCCACACAGGCUGUGGGUCUGUGCAGCAGCUGUUCACAUGACACUAUAUUUUAUCUGCAUACAUUUAAUCAUUUUUUUUCCUAAGCAACUGUCUCAAUCUGUCAAAAUAUUUGUAAAUGGAUUCAGUUUCCAGUGAAAUUUGCUUUCACUAGCACAACAGAGAGACAGGGAAGACUUAUACCCAGUGGGAAGAAAAAAAAGCAAAAUUGUUUUCCAUUGCAGGUUGAACAGCUCAGUCCUAAGGCGUUUGCCUUGAUGGCUGUGUGAAGCCAGUACUCUCACUUAGCAGCUACCUCAUUUCUGGGCCGAGAUGUUUCAUUUCAUCAGACGGAUUUCUCCACAGCUGAACAAGCACAAACAACAUGCAGAGAAAGCCGGGAUUUUAGAACCACUCUGCCGGAAAAUGUCACGUAAAUAUUACCGACCCGCUCGGCCAGCAGGAGCUUUGCAGGGCACGCUGCGGAUCGGGCUGCCCCCCAUAAAAUAAAAAAAUAAAAAAAUUUGCUUUGCUGUUAUUUUGGACGCUCCAGCGAGGAAAGUUCCGUGGGGCUUCUGUGCUGCCGGGGCGAGGCAGCAGAUGGUGCUGGUGCUGCAGGAACCGCCGCUCGCUGCCUCUUCAUUGACUGGAAAAGAGGUCAGAGGAAGAAAAGGCUCAUUACAAUCACAAUAUAUGCCAUGCAUAAACCCUAAUUUACAACUGCGGGGGAACACUGCAUUCUGGAUUACCUGUCAGUUGUAGACAGCAGCUACCACUUCAGAGUUACAACAAAGGAGAAAUGGAAGGCUUCUCUGCUCCCAGGAAGAUCUACCAUACAGACACAGAAUACUACCUGUGACCAGUAGACUCUUCUGAGUACUGUCUUAGGUGUUAGAGAUUUUAAUUUGAAGUGGGGUUCACAAUAGCAUUUUUAAGAAGCCAAAUCCAGGGUGCUUACUCGGACUAGCCUGGGUGCUUCCUGCUUGCACUGGUUGGGUCCAGAUGUGAGCAUUCUGCUCAGUUUGAUCCUGGUUGGCACAUGGAGAGAGUUAUGGAUCUCUGGGGCCCAGAGGAAAUGGCUGGACAGAGAACUUCCUGGGACUGCUGCAUCUGCUGUAGACAUUCAGCUAACUGUGCAUUUUCUGGGAUUCAGAAGGGCCAUCUGCUACCCACACAGUCAAGAGGAAAGCCAAACAAAAAAGAAGGCAGCAAAGAUGAAGGUUUCCCAUGCAAUCUGGAGUGACUCUUGCUUUUGAAAUAAGGCAAUCUGGAGAACAUUAAAGCUGUUCUUAGAAGAAUAAACAACCUUGUGCAGAUGCAGAAGAAAGGCAGAGAAAUAUUAGAUGACUUAUCCACAGUCUGCAGCAGGGGAUGAAAUGUACAUGUGGAGGCGGUGUUGAUGAAGAACUAGUGCUGGAGGAUUGCUCGCGUUUCACCAGAAAAGGCUCUCCAGUCCGCAGCUCUCGGAUUUUCCCUCUCGUGUCACUCAAGCAAACUGCCCUGAGCUUCCCUGCUGCCGAGGUCGGAGCAGAGCCACCGCUGCCCUCUGGCCCCCGCCGGGAGCCCGCACACCAGCACCCGCUCGGAGCCCCGGGGGCACACACACACACAGACACAGACACACACGGACAGACACACACGGACAGACACACACGGACACACAGACACACACACGAGCUGAGCUCCCCAGCGCUGCCGAGAGCCAAAUGGGAUUUUGCCUGAAUGAGUACUGGGGGGUGGGCACUCGUUCAGAGCCACAAACAACUCGUUA
Molecule: long non-coding RNA, 1918 nt
Organism: Pipra filicauda (Wire-tailed manakin)
Lineage: Eukaryota; Metazoa; Chordata; Aves; Passeriformes; Pipridae
Exons: 9
Source: RefSeq, a predicted model, not a curated record